AUCAUACUCCCUCCGUCCGAAAAUACUUGUCGGAGGAAUGGAUGUAUCUAGACGUAAUUUAAUUCUAGAUACAUUCGUUUUUAUGCAUUUCUUCGACAAGUAUUUCCGGACGGAGGGAGUAUUUU
This is a non-coding RNA of Triticum aestivum (bread wheat), 125 nucleotides long. NCBI's taxonomy places the organism in Eukaryota, Viridiplantae, Streptophyta, Magnoliopsida, Poales, Poaceae. The record is from Rfam.